RNAcentral lists this ribosomal RNA (232 nucleotides) under uncultured bacterium. RNAcentral's name for it is "partial 16S ribosomal RNA". It matches the Rfam family "Bacterial small subunit ribosomal RNA", at positions 100 to 334 of the family's 1533-position model. The record is from RNAcentral.
CGGGACGGGUGAGUAAUGUCUGGGAAACUGCCUGAUGGAGGGGGAUAACUACUGGAAACGGUAGCUAAUACCGCAUAACGUCGCAAGACCAAAGAGGGGGACCUUCGGGCCUCUUGCCAUCGGAUGUGCCCAGAUGGGAUUAGCUAGUAGGUGGGGUAACGGCUCACCUAGGCGACGAUCCCUAGCUGGUCUGAGAGGAUGACCAGCCACACUGGAACUGAGACACGGUCAG